UACCUUACAUGAACUUUUAGAAUCCAAUCUCAUGUUGAUUCACAAGCUACUGCCUACUCCCAUUGGGAUGAACCUUACUUUGGUAAAGCAACCAUUACUUCAUCAAGAUCUAAUAGAGAUCCUAGGAAAAAUCAAGGAGAAUGGACAGAGAACUCUGUCCUGAAGACUCCACGACGACACCAUGGAACCCUGCUGAUGAAGAUCUUUCGAGGGCAAUCGUCAGUCACGGGGUGGUGUAAGAGCCCGUCUGAAGCCCCUCAUUUUCCGUUCUGCCUUCCGAUUGCCACGAGAAAGAAUCCCUUCCUCCACUGCAGUUCCGGCUUAGAACAGGACACAGUGCAGGUGCAACCACUGAACCGUCAUGCUAGCUGUUCCGAACAAGGCCUGGCAAGAACUCGGCAAGGACUUGGCAAGGACUUGGCAAAGACCUGACGUGGACCCAGCACGGGACAGCCUGAUGCGCGGCCUGCUUCUAAUCUCCGUUCUUAAGCCAAAUGAACUUUUGGGGUGACUCCCGGGGUCCUUCAUUGAAGACCCCUCAUCUGCCUCGUUACCACUGUGACAAACAAAGAAUGAGAACCCUCCUCCCAAGGACUGAGACUGAGACCCCUGCUACAGGGAGGAGGGGAAAUUGGUGGUCUGACCACUAAUGACAUGACCUGUUUCCCUUCAGUGAUUCAAAUGGACUCAUUCUUCAUUGGAUUCGUCUUGCUUUGGUGGUUUCUGUGGACUCAGCUGUUCCCGCGUGGCGAUUACAAUGGACUUUCGUUGUUCCACUUGCUCCCCCCUCUUUCCUCUGUGGACUAUAACUGGAGCCCCGAGUCGACCAGAACUACGGAGACUCCCCCGACACGACAGACGGAUCCCCAUCGUCCGGACCACUGAGGAUCUCGCCUGUGUUGGUAGCUAUUCCCAUACCCCUCUUCUCUCUCUCUCUCUCCUUUUAUCUCCUUUCCGAUCCCCACUAUCGCAUUUACUGGUUUGGCCCCUAAUAAAGGUGCAUUUGUUGUGAUUAA
Vidua chalybeata is the source of this 1016-nucleotide long non-coding RNA. RefSeq lists it as uncharacterized. The transcript is spliced from 2 exons. NCBI's taxonomy places the organism in Eukaryota, Metazoa, Chordata, Aves, Passeriformes, Viduidae. The record is from RefSeq and is a predicted model, not a curated record.